GUGGGGAAUAUUGGACAAUGGGCGCAAGCCUGAUCCAGCCAUGCCGCGUGAGUGAUGAAGGCCUUAGGGUUGUAAAGCUCUUUUGUCCGGGACGAUAAUGACGGUACCGGAAGAAUAAGCCCCGGCUAACUUCGUGCCAGCAGCCGCGGUAAUACGAAGGGGGCUAGCGUUGCUCGGAAUCACUGGGCGUAAAGGGCGCGUAGGCGGCCAUUCAAGUCGGGGGUGAAAGCCUGUGGCUCAACCACAGAAUUGCCUUCGAUACUGUUUGGCUUGAGUAUGGCAGAGGUCAGUGGAACUGCGAGUGUAGAGGUGAAAUUCGUAGAUAUUCGCAAGAACACCAGUGGCGAAGGCGGCUGACUGGGCCAUUACUGACGCUGAGGCGCGAAAGCGUGGGGAGCAAA
This 401-nucleotide ribosomal RNA is filed under the name uncultured bacterium. RNAcentral describes it as "bacterial SSU rRNA". It matches the Rfam family "Bacterial small subunit ribosomal RNA", at positions 354 to 772 of the family's 1533-position model. The record is from RNAcentral.